AUUGAUAUAAAAGUUAUUUUUGUUAUCUUUCACCAAUAUAGCAGCUGAUUCUGCUUCAGGUUUUAUUAUUUCACAUAAUUUCUUUAGAAAUGAAGGUGAUAUUUCAUUAGUGAACAUUAAUUCUUAAGGGGAAGUGCUUAGCCUUUGAUAAUUUUUUCUUCAAAGAAUGGAAACAUGGUUGAACGGUUUUUACUUUAAUCAUAUGUUAUACUCUUUAAAAAAUGACGCUGAUAUUUCAUUAGUGAAAAUUAAUGCUUAGCCUUUCAGAAUUUUGCUCAAAAGAAUGGAAACACUGAUGAGAGGAUGCUUUUGUUAUGGAAAAAUUCAUUUAAAUGUUAUGCUCCUUGAACUGGUUAUUUCUUGCUUUACUUUGCAAUGCAACAUGUGAGGCUUAAGGAAUAAGAUAAUGCUAUUUAGAUGGAGGCUGCAUGCGUUGAUUUUGUUGAUGUUAAUUGGGUCUACAUUUAUAUGAGUCCUUAUUCUGUAGAACAUUGUCCAAUUGUCCUUGGUUCACUAACUCCAUGAAGUUCUUUUAUUGGCUUUCUUGGAUAUUGAAUAUGCUUUAAUUGUUUCAUUUCCUUGCAAAUGUUUAUGUUAAGAUAUGUACCAUAAAU
RNAcentral lists this unclassified non-coding RNA (614 nucleotides) under Hevea brasiliensis (rubber tree). Lineage: Eukaryota; Viridiplantae; Streptophyta; Magnoliopsida; Malpighiales; Euphorbiaceae. The record is from RNAcentral.